This is a long non-coding RNA of Carassius auratus (goldfish), 916 nucleotides long. RefSeq lists it as uncharacterized. Lineage: Eukaryota; Metazoa; Chordata; Actinopteri; Cypriniformes; Cyprinidae. The record is from RefSeq and is a predicted model, not a curated record. The transcript has 2 exons.
CCAUCUGAACUACUGAACCAUUAUAAUGAGCGUCUGGAUGAACUUAUGAAGAAUACCAUUUAAACAGAGCUCAAAAUGAAGGACGUUUUGUACUCGAGACAUGCUGUCUGAAUAUAAAGCCCAGUUGUUAUCGUUGUCAUGGUUUCGAGGGCCCGGCAGAGGCAGGAUUAGGAGCCAUUUUAGGGACAGCUGGCCAGGUCGGCCUCCACCUCCCCUUUAUCCCGCGCAGAGAUGCUCUGGGGGGAUGAGGGGGGACAUUGUGCGAGGAUUAGAGCUUCCUGUGUGUCAGCCACAUUACAGGGGGGGGGGGGGUGGACAGAGAGUGAAAGAGGCAAAGAAUGAAAGAGAAAAUGAAAGAGCGAGCAUAUGAAAGAGAGCAUGACACAGAAAGCAAGAGGGUGUUUGAGGGGAGGGAGUGAAGUCUGUACAGCUGCACACUCAAUCACAUUACACAAGUGUGUGUGUGUGUGUGUGAAUAAACACACACAGAGCCAUCAACAUGCACACCACCAAUCUGGGAAACUAAAACAUUAAAGGAAGCAUACUUAAAAAAAAAAAAGGGUGAAUGAAGACAAUUGCUGAAGAACAAAGUUCCUUAUAGAACAACAAAAACAAAAAUAGCUUAACAGGUGGCAGUUAUGUGUUCCAUGCAAUUCAAAUAAUUCACAUACAUUUAAAAAACACAAAUCUUGAGACAUUCAGUCUGACUUUAUUUCUCUUUUUGACAAGUUAGGACCACAAUACAUCCAAUACAACACAAAAGUUGUUAAGAGUUCAACAGGGCAAACAAAAGUUGCUUCAAACUUCAAGAUUACUAAAAUACUGAAAGCUUAAAUCUUAAUAAAUUUUGAGCUGGUUUUGCUCAUCUGCAGCAGUGUGAAAACUAAUGUGAUUUGCUGUUUUUCAUAGUCAACAA